RNAcentral lists this ribosomal RNA (248 nucleotides) under uncultured bacterium. RNAcentral describes it as "partial 16S ribosomal RNA". It matches the Rfam family "Bacterial small subunit ribosomal RNA", at positions 109 to 353 of the family's 1533-position model. The record is from RNAcentral.
AGUAACGCGUGGGUAACCUGCCUCAUACAGGGGGAGUAACAGUUGGAAACGGCUGCUAAUACCGCAUAAGCGCACAGUACCGCAUGGUACGGUGUGAAAAACUACCGGUGGUAUGAGAUGGACCCGCGUCUGAUUAGGUAGUUGGUGGGGUAACGGCCUACCAAGCCGACGAUCAGUAGCCGACCUGAGAGGGUGACCGGCCACAUUGGGACUGAGACACGGCCCAAACUCCUACGGGAGGCAGCAUG